Molecule: ribosomal RNA, 425 nt
Filed under: uncultured bacterium
Lineage: Bacteria
Description: bacterial SSU rRNA
Rfam family: Bacterial small subunit ribosomal RNA
Source: RNAcentral
GUGGGGAAUAUUGGACAAUGGGCGCAAGCCUGAUCCAGCAAUGCCGCGUGGGUGAAGAAGGUCUUCGGAUCGUAAAGCCCUUUCGACAGGGACGAUGAUGACGGUACCUGUAGAAGAAGCCCCGGCUAACUUCGUGCCAGCAGCCGCGGUAAUACGAAGGGGGCUAGCGUUACUCGGAAUUACUGGGCGUAAAGGGCGCGUAGGCGGCUCUGUUAGUCAGGCGUGAAAUUCCUGGGCUUAACCUGGGGACUGCGCUUGAUACUGCAGGGCUUGAGGCCGAGAGAGGGUGGUGGAAUUCCCAGUGUAGAGGUGAAAUUCGUAGAUAUUGGGAAGAACACCGGUGGCGAAGGCGACCACCUGGCUCGGUUCUGACGCUGAGGCGCGACAGCGUGGGGAGCAAACAGGAUUAGAAACCCCGGUAGUCC